Molecule: long non-coding RNA, 272 nt
Organism: Phymastichus coffea
Lineage: Eukaryota; Metazoa; Arthropoda; Insecta; Hymenoptera; Eulophidae
Exons: 3
Source: RefSeq, a predicted model, not a curated record
CUAAAAACCUUGUAAAAAAAUGGCUACAUCAGGUCGAGGAUGUCAAAGUAUUCUAUGAAGGGUUUGUGAAAGAUGUUUUGAAAUUAAAAGAACAUCAUUAUGUCAAUGAAACUCAGAAAUAUUGCUUCGCAUUCAUGAAGAAUAAUUUGAAGAAUCAUUUUACAAAUAUUUGUCAUCAUGAAGAUGACUUUGGAAUCAAAGUAGAAUCCAAUAAUUUCUUUGCCCCUAGCCACGGUAAAGGACCUUGUGAUGGAAUCGGAGCUGUAGCGAAA